This 464-nucleotide ribosomal RNA is filed under the name uncultured bacterium. RNAcentral describes it as "bacterial SSU rRNA". It matches the Rfam family "Bacterial small subunit ribosomal RNA", at positions 330 to 792 of the family's 1533-position model. The record is from RNAcentral.
UCCAGACUCCUACGGGAGGCAGCAGUGAGGAAUAUUGGUCAAUGGCCGCAGGGCUGAACCAGCCAAGUCGCGUGAGGGAUGACGGUCCUAUGGAUUGUAAACCUCUUUUGUCAGGGAGCAAAGGGCGCCACGUGUGGCGUUUUGCGAGUACCUGAAGAAAAAGCAUCGGCUAACUCCGUGCCAGCAGCCGCGGUAAUACGGAGGAUGCGAGCGUUAUCCGGAUUUAUUGGGUUUAAAGGGUGCGCAGGCGGAAUGUCAAGUCAGCGGUAAAAUUUCGGGGCUCAACCCCGUCGUGCCGUUGAAACUGGCGUUCCUGAGUGAGCGAGAAGUAUGCGGAAUGCGUGGUGUAGCGGUGAAAUGCAUAGAUAUCACGCAGAACUCCGAUUGCGAAGGCAGCAUACCGGCGCGCAACUGACGCUCGUGCACGAAAGCGUGGGUAUCGAACAGGAUUAGAUACCCGAGUA